AGCCAUGCGAGACGAAUGUAGCAAUACAUGGCGUACUGCUCAGUAACACGUGGAUAACCUACCCUUGAGACGGGGAUAAACCCGGGAAACUGGGUAUAAUACCCGAUAGAUCUCGAAGGCUGGAGUGCAUCGAGAUCGAAAGCUCCGGCGCUCAAGGAUGGAUCUGCGGCCUAUCAGGUAGUAGUGGGUGUAGCGUACCUACUAGCCUACGACGGGUACGGGUUGUGAGAGCAAGAGCCCGGAGAUGGAUUCUGAGACACGAAUCCAGGCCCUACGGGGUGCAGCAGGCGCGAAAACUUUACAAUGCUGGAAGCAGCGAUAAGGGGACCUCGAGUGCCAGGUUACAAAUCUGGCUGUCGUGAUGCCUAAAACGCAUUGCAUAGCAAGGGCCGGGCAAGACCGGUGCCAGCCGCCGCGGUAACACCGGCGGCUCGAGUGGUAACCGUUAUUAUUGGGUCUAAAGGGUCUGUAGCCGGCCGGAUAAGUCUCUUGGGAAAUCUGGCAGCUUAACUGUCAGGCUUUCAGGAGAUACUGUCUGGCUCGAGGCCGGGAGAGGUGAGAGGUACUUCAGGGGUAGGGGUGAAAUCUUGUAAUCCUUGAAGGACCACCAGUGGCGAAGGCGUCUCACCAGAACGGACCUGACGGCAAGGGACGAAAGCUAGGGGCACGAACCGGAUUAGAUACCCGGGUAGUCCUAGCCGUAAACGAUACUCGCUAGGUGUCGGCCACGGUGCGACCGUUGUCGGUGCCGUAGGGAAGCCGUGAAGCGAGCCACCUGGGAAGUACGGCCGCAAGGCUGAAACUUAAAGGAAUUGGCGGGGGAGCACCACAACGGGUGGAGCUUGCGGUUUAAUUGGAUUCAACGCCGGAAAG
RNAcentral lists this ribosomal RNA (873 nucleotides) under uncultured archaeon. RNAcentral describes it as "bacterial SSU rRNA". It matches the Rfam family "Archaeal small subunit ribosomal RNA", at positions 47 to 925 of the family's 1478-position model. The record is from RNAcentral.